RNAcentral lists this ribosomal RNA (265 nucleotides) under uncultured archaeon. RNAcentral's name for it is "partial 16S ribosomal RNA". It matches the Rfam family "Archaeal small subunit ribosomal RNA", at positions 748 to 1009 of the family's 1478-position model. The record is from RNAcentral.
CAGCCGUAAAACUAUGCGCGUUAGGUGUAUCGGUGACCACGAGUCACCGAGGUGCCGAAGGGAAACCGUGAAACGUGCCGCCUGGGAAGUACGGUCGCAAGGCUGAAACUUAAAGGAAUUGGCGGGGGAGCACCACAACAGGUGGAGCCUGCGGUUUAAUUGGACUCAACGCCGGGAAGCUCACCGGAUAGGACGACAGCAAUAUGUAGGCCAGGCUGAAGACCUUGCCUGAAUCGCUGAGAGGAGGUGCAUGGCGUAGACGUCU